GCCGGCCCGUCAUGGCGGCGCCCAGCGAGGCGCGGGAGCGGCGGCCUUUCGGGAGGCGCUUCCUCACCGACCCCGCCCGGCUCUUCCAGCACAAUGCCUGGGACAAUGUGGAAUGGUCAGAAGAGCAGGAAGCCAGUGCCAGGAGUAAAGUUCAAGAGAACAGCUCACAACUAUUGCCACAAGAUAAACAAGAGGAAUAUGAGGUGAACGCUAAGAAAUACUGGGAUGACUUCUAUAAAAUCCACGAAAAUGGCUUCUUCAAGGACAGGCACUGGCUGUUCACUGAAUUUCCUGAGCUGGCACCUAACAGGAACUCAAGCCAAAAUGGAGAUUCUGUGCAUGAAUUUAGUAACACAGAAGAAUCCAACAAUGAAGGGCUGGGAAGCUGUGAAAAUGGCCAUUGCUCGUUGGAAACCAGGACAAAGAGUCAGUUAAACCUGAUAAAAAGCCCAGCUGGGGGCUGCACAGAGGAGUUGGCUGCACAGAAGGACAGUGAGCUGAGUCAGAGUGAUGGGGAUUACCCUGGAUCAGCUGCAUCUUACCGUAUACUAGAGGUUGGCUGUGGGGCUGGGAAUACAGUUUUCCCAAUUUUACAAACCAACAAUGACCCAGGCCUGUUUGUUUAUUGCUGUGACUUUUCUGCAACAGCUGUGGAUCUUGUCCAGAACAAUGCAGAAUAUGAUACUUCUCGCUGCUUUGCAUUUGUCCAUGACCUGUGCAAUGACCAAAGUCCCUUCCCAAUGCCAGAAGAGAGUCUUGACAUUGUUAUUCUUAUCUUUGUCCUCUCAGCAAUUCUCCCGGAGAAGAUGCAGUGCAUCGUGACCAGACUGAGUCGCCUUCUGAAACCGGGCGGAAUGAUCUUGUUACGAGAUUACGGCCGCUAUGAUCUUGCCCAGCUUCGGUUUAAGAAAGGUCAAUGUCUGUCUGAUAACUUCUAUGUGAGAGGUGAUGGCACCAGAGUCUACUUCUUCACACAAGAUGAAUUAGAUCAUCUCUUCACCACAGCUGGGCUGAAGAAAAUCCAGAAUCUGGUUGAUCGGCGAUUGCAAGUGAACCGUGGGAAGCAGAUGACGAUGUAUCGGGUGUGGAUCCAGUGCAAGUACUGCAAACCCACCGUCCUUCAGCCAUGAGGCGUGUGGGCUUUGGGCUGGAGCCUCUUCAUCUCCUCCUGGUGACAUGUGUGUGGUGGAGUUCUGCACAGCCAGGACCUCAGUGCCUUGUACCAUGCCUGGCAUCACUUCAAGUAUUGCUUUGUCUGCUACCUGAAGGCUUCUGGGUCAGGACAUUUCAGCCCUCCCUGGGAAAGGUUACCCAGGGAAUCCAUUCACAGCACACAGGCUGCGGUGCUGGGACAAUGGAAAUGCACCAUUGCUUUUUUGUAUAUCUGUCUCUUUUAAAUAAUGUUGAAUGAAAUCAAAUUAUUUUUUUGGAGGGGAAUGGGAGUCAAAUAUCUGGGAAGAGAAUUCUUGUUCAGUUUGUUGUAGUGUAUUUUCUAAAGGGCCAAGAACCUUUCCAUCAUCUGCAAAUGAAACAGGAGGAGGUAAAGCUUCUGUCUUCUGGAGCACAUUUGGCUUCUGCUGAGCACAAGCCUGACGCACCCCAGAAGCUCUGCAGUCGCUGCUGUGUUUUCAUGCUAAACCUACAACGUCUGGUUCCCUGGCAAGGCUGAGGCCUCAGGCAAGGUCUAGGCAAAACACAGCUCAAGGCCUCUGGCAGCAGGUGAGCAAGCUGAAGUCUCCUCAGCUUAUCCAGGCACAGAGUCAGGCUUAGCAAGAGCCCUGUGAGCGUUGGACCUGACGUGACUCGUGUAACCGCCUCAGUGACAGACCUCCUGUGUGUUACUGGGGCCUCAGGCAGUUCCUUGGGGUCCUUUCCCUCUUGGGCCCUGGAGGAAGACCUCUUCCCGGGAUAGCUUUAUCUCCCUGCAAGAAAAAUUCUUGACUGGGGUAAACAAUCAGCAUAAUUAGUGUGAAUUAAAGUAAUUUGAAAAAUGCCUUCUUAAUCAUCCAAAGGCUUGAAAGCAGUGCAGGAAAAUAUGUUUUUAAUUAUAAACAUGAUUUAUGUAAAGUUGAUGGACUCCCCUUUAAAUUCAAACUCCUGAAUGGGAGAAAAUGAAGGCUAUUUAUUUGUUUGUUUGUGCUUUCAAGGUUGUAUCCCAGUUGCCUGGUUUUAACUUGGGCUUCAUGCAAAAACUUGCAGCCCUGUGAGCCUGGAGCCAGUGAAGUAGCUCUUUGCCUUUCUUAAUGCUCUUAGUUCUGCUGCAGUAUUUAAGCAGUCACUCAGCAGGGCCCAUGCUGGGCAGACGUGCUUUUGUUUCCAGUUCUCUUGGUGGUGUUCAGAAAGCAACAAGUUAAUGGCCUUGAAUUGAGCCAGGCCUCCUACAGACAGAUACUGUUUGAGCUUCCUUCACUAAUCCCUGCCAGCUUCUGUUCUCUCAGAAGCUGCUCCGCUCCUGCCACUCCAGGCCUUGCCUCCCACACAGCUCUGCUCAGGUACCUCGGUCCUGACUUGCAGCAGCUCCUGCCAUUCCCACCUUGGGCCUGCUGGGCAGGCUGGGUUGCUCAAGCUUUCCAGCAUGUUCAAAGGAAAUCUCCAAACUGACUUUUACCAUGCUGAAAAGCCAGGUUAAGUGCCAUUAGUGUUUUGGGGGGUUUUUUUCCCCUCUUCCUUCUUAGCAGAGUAAUGUUACCUUUAAAGCCUUUCUGAGAGUUUCUGCUCUGAUUUUGUUCCCAGCAUUCCAAGUCUUGUGGUCUGUGGCUUACAGGCAAUGCCAGCGUGGCCUGAUGAACCUCCCAAGCAGAAGAGAUGAUUUCAUAGCCCUUCACAUGCAUUGCCCCAGCGAUCUUGGAGCCAGGCAUUGUUACACUUCGAAAAAUCUGGUCCUGGCUCUUGCCAGAAGGUGGUGGAUUUCCUUGGAGAUUCAUAGAUUGUUUUGGCUGGAAGGGAACUUUAUCAUCACCUAUUGUGACCCCUCACAUAAUCCUUUCAUGUAGGGAUAAUGCCAGCAAGCCUGUGACUUGGAUUUGGACUUGGAACUAGCCCUUCAGAAAGGGUUUUGAUCCAGCCAUGGUGCUGAGGGCUCCAGUGAAGGACAAAGAAGCUUUUGCCUCCCCAGGUACAUCAUUCUUCUCGGAGCAUCGUGGUUUCACAGACAAGCUGUGAAUUGGGAGGCAGGAGGGAACAGGGGAGGUGAUGUGAACAAGAGGCUGGGGGGAUAUUUCUGAUGCUGCCACUUCAAAAAUAAGUAAAUUUUCACAGCAUCUUCCUGACAGCACAGCAAAGUGAGGACAGCAGUCAUCCAUAGUGAUUUGGAUAGUUACAACACUGGUCAUCAAAUUCUUCUGACCAGGGGCGUGUGAGAUCAGACACAAUUGUCUUCUCUCCCAAAUAAUUCAGCUCUGUCUUCUCUGGGUAUGCCACCACCAUUUCUAAUCUGCAGUGAGUUCUCAAGCUCUGGGAUAAAUGAGACCUGAUUAUUUUCAAUAGAAGAGAGGUGUGAGCAGAGGGAACCUCCUUGUGCACACACCAGCAGCUUUUGGCACUGCAUUAUAACAAAAGCUGGAAGAGCUGCUGUCAUUGGCAUUGGGAUGAGCCCUGGCUUGUCCCCACUGGAUUCUUUACAGGAAUUGCAGACCCAAACUGAACGGAACUGUUUUUUCCUGAGCACUACUGAAAGAUGCACAGGUUUUACUGCCUAGAAGUGAGGAUGGGGCUGCAGGGAUCAUGUUGUUAUGGGAUUUGGGGACCAUCCUUCCAUUCUGUAAACACAGAUGGAGUGAAACUGAGUCAUGCAGUCUUUGUUCUGAUCAGUCAGCAGGAUCUGAUUUGUCAGUCAGAGAAGUGCCACCAUUUUUGGUUUGGUGCCAUAUUGGGGAAAAUAAAUCCAUGAGGGAGAAUGCCACAAUCAGGACAAUUUUUGCUAUUGUAACUAUUCCUCUUCCUUGACGGGGGUGCCUGGCACACAUCCUCGUGUACAGUGUCCCUAGACACUGACUUCAACAGAAACUCUGAUUUUAACUUGUGUUUCAGGGCAAGACAGAAAUUACCAGAAAAACAAGUAUCAGGAGGAAUUUUUUGGAGGACCUUCCUGCAAAGUGAGGUGCUCUGGAGGAAAAGGAGUUGUCAGUUCUGUGCUUAACCAGCAGAGCUCUGGAGUUUGUGCUUUUAGGUCUCGCUGAAGGCAGUAAGUUCCUGUGUGUAACUGCCCAGCUGAAUGGGAGCUUGUGUUGAUUGAAAAGUGGGACAUUGCAGGAAAUUACCUUUGUAGGCAGCCCUGAGUGCUAAUCUGAACUAAAUAGGAUACAGCAUGAGCCAGAAGAGCACAAGCCAGGCCUGGACACAGGCAGGGAAAGGCAAGGCAACCUGAGCCAUGUGUGCCUCUGCUUUUCCCUCCUGCCCGGGGGUUGUAUGGCAUGGCAGUUGUCAUGCCAGUGAAGGUUUUUAUUCUUGGUUUUUGACCCACAGUGGGAUGAGCAGGAAAUGGCAGCAGUUGGAAAGCAGUGAUGGCAGAGCUCACUGGCAAGUCUUACAUGUCAGCACCUGCCAGCAGCUCCCAGCCUGUUGGUCCAUGGCUUGGUUUCCAGGAAAGAAGAAAAUCCUGGUGAGGUUUGGACACUGCUGUUCUAAAUUCUGCUCUCUGGUGUUAACCCCAGAGCCCUCACUGCAAGCACCAGCAUAGCAUGGGAACAGCAGCUUGAUUUUGGGGUGGAGUGUGACUGCUGUAUUGAGGUUGUCUUUGCUGUCCAAAGGACCCUUGUAGCUCUUGCAAUUUCAUGUUAUGUGGAAGUUAGGGAGUUCCGGGAGAUUGCCAAAUCUUUGGAAUAUGAAACUUACUUUCAGCUCCUGUGAAGUGGGAAGCUACUGUUGGCAGUCCCUGGUCGCAGGGGCCAGGUCACACCUCUGUGCUGUGUGUGGAGCAUGAGGGGAUCUGCUCAGGUGUAAGGAGAGAGGUACCACACUUCCCCAGGGUCACUGGAUGUGGCUCCAAAUUCCUCAUUUGGAGAUUAAAUUGCCUGAUCUCCCCUCAGACUCUUUCUUCAUCCCUGGGACCAGGCUCAAGGCAUGCUGCAUAUCCCCCUCACCUGGGGAGCAGUACCUGGGCAGGGCCACCUCACUGCAGUCUGUAAUUACACAGCCACAUGGCUUUUUCCACAUUCAGUGUCAUUGGUGGAUGUGAAGAGGUUGCACAGAAAACUGACUCUGGCUUUUCCACAGCUUCAAGUGACUUCUUCCCUACUGAGAUGAGCCUCGUUAGGAAGGUUGAAAUGUAUUUACAGACAUUCACAAAGAGGCUGAAUAUACUUAGAGAAAUGUGUGUGCAGUAACUCCGGCUUUACAAUAGGAGGUUGAUUUAAUUUUCCUCUUACACAAAUCUCAGAGCAGUUUGUCUAAUUAAGGCUUUCCAAAGCUGUGUAAAGUAGGGUGUUAUUAUGCCCAUUUUAUGCAGGAGAAAGAGAAGCAGGGGGCAAACCCUGUUGAGAAUAAAGUCCUCUUGUAUUCUGGGAAGCCGAGAGUGAGUGAGGACAGGGAAGGACUUGCUGGUAUUCAGGAGAAUCCCAUUGUUUCAGGUGUGCUUUGGGAUUGCAGAGUGUUCCUUUCCUACCUGCGAGGUCUGGCUCCCCUCGGCUGGGCCAUGGCGGCUGCACAGUUCCAGGUGCCUGCACACAGCUGCCUUCCUCCUCCAGCAGUAGGACACGCAUUGCCUUGGAUCAGGGCUCUGAGGCUGCACAUGGCUGGCUGCUUGUGUGGAGGCUGAGUGGUGUGGAUGCUUUCCUACUGAGUUUGGGAUCAAAGCCUCCCUAAUGGGAUACCUGAAGGUGUAGACAGAGGGAGGGGCAGGAACAACUUCAGAGAUAAACUCCAUCGUGUGGGAGGGUGGAGGCUCUCGGAAUGGCCUCAGGAAGGAGUCAGGCAAUGGCAUGUUAUCUUUGAGGAGCUCAAAUACCGGUUUUCUCCCUAAGGAAAAUGAGGAAAGACACUUUUUUAAUGUUCCUAGUGUGGCAGAAGCCCUACCCUUAAUAGACAAGAAUCCACGCAAGGGUGACAUGGUUUGAAUGCCCCAAGCCUAGAAAAAUCUUCACUGGCAGCUCAUGCCUCAUUAGGUCUAACAGAAUCUGCUGUGCAGACAAGGGUUGGCCUCUUCAGGAUGUGAUGCCUGGAGGUGACAUCAUCCCCUGGUGCUAAAAUCUUUAAAAGCCUGUUGAGUGUUGUACUCUCGUGGGUUUUGGUUGGGGUUUUUUUUUCCCCAGUACUAUAAAAUGUUUGGAUUUGAGAUCACUGAUGCCAGCUUUUACAUUUUAAAGGUUCAGGCUGUUUGUUGUUUUUUUUUCUAGUCCUCAGCUGCCCAUGUCCUGGUAUCACUGAGGAAUCUCAGCUCUUCUUUUGUGUGUCUUAUAUCAGUAGAUUUCCAGACCUUGUGGCAGUACAGAAAUGCUUAGGAAAAUGCAUUUAGAAUAUUCCACAAGCCUGGAAAGCCGAGGCAAGGAGAAGUCACCAAAAACAUGAUUAAAAAGAUGAGAAUCUUGACUUCUGUCAUUUUAUCUUUUCAAAAUUCAAGGCAGAAGGAACUUGUUAUGUACUCUGUUAAAAUUUCUAUAAAAUCUUACCCAAUUUUGGUCUAAUCUAACCUGGGUUAGCAGAGAGGCUGUGGUGGGAAGGCAGGGCUUGCUGCUGUUUUGCUGAGCGUGCUGUGCCUGUGGAGGGGAGCUCCAAGCUCCGGUCGAAUCCAGUGACAAAGAAAAUGGCUGCAGCAGCUGAGUCGUUCUUCAAAACAUGAUACAAGUGCUGUGUACUAGGAAUAUCACUGACAUCCAAGGAGGCUGAGACAAGAAGAGGAGAGCUACCACAGGAAUGUAAUCAGAGGCAUUAACACUGGUUGAUGGCAAGAUCUGGAGAGCGGGAUGUGCACAGGAAUGAUCUGGCAGGGCUGAUGGUGGAGGAGGGCUGGCUUGUCCCUAUGGAUGAGAUAAUAUUUAGUCAGCCAUGUACAUACUGUGUUGCUCAUAACCAGCUCCUCUGAAAGGACCAGAGCUCAGGGGCUCUUAAAAAGUUAAUGAAAAACAGGGAAAACAGAAGAGUUUUAUGUGUCACUCAGGUGUGAGUUUUCCUGCGUGAGACUUCUUGGAGGUCCAAAUAGUCUCUUCUCAUAGUGUCUUGUCUUGCUGGGCCAGAACGUGAAACACACAGAAACUGCUCCCAAACUGUAAUACAAUGGGGAAAAUCAAGUUGAGGUCAACAGAAUCUUGAUUUCUAACCUUACAUUGGUUUAGUUUUGAGGCUUUAUAAGAUUUUAGAAGUAGUAUCUUAAAUUAGAAUUUCUAAUUGAAUCAAAAAAUUUCCUGUACAAAAUGAUGAACUAUUUACGUAUUCCAGCCACUUUGAAGCAGCAAACCUUUCCCUGUAAGAACAGGAACAAACUGACCUUUUCUGACCAGAAGCACAUUCCAAUAAGUUGCCUUUUCUUAUUAAAAAAAAGCCAAACCCAAACAACUAAAAAGAAAACAGUCCACCAAUUCUCUGCUGAGUCCAAACCUGGGGGAUCAGCUCCCAGGAGAGAAGACAUCAUACAAAGUAGUCCAAGUGUGAUGUGUCAACACUGAUAAUGGUAUUUUUACCUGAGAGACCUUUGCUGUUCCAGAGAGCCAAAUCUCAAAUGUGCUGGCGCAGCACAGUUGGAAGCGUUGCACCAGGCUGGGCUGUGCGGUGCAUCCCUGUUCAGGGCUGUGUCCUGAUGGAGUGUAGGAGGAAAAAGUUCUGAGAUCACUGAUCACUGGGAAAUUUAUCCAGUAACUUCCUUCCUACUGUUACCUGACAAACUUGUCUAAAAUCCCUUGUACCUACCUGUACCCUCCUGACAGCAAGCGGAAUCCUUAAAGGCUGCUCUGAAAUUCUUGCUUACAGCCAGAAAUACAGUUACAAUUUGUUGA
Corvus hawaiiensis (hawaiian crow) is the source of this 7925-nucleotide RNA transcript. It is a transcript of the gene named tRNA N(3)-methylcytidine methyltransferase METTL2-like, with no coding region annotated. NCBI's taxonomy places the organism in Eukaryota, Metazoa, Chordata, Aves, Passeriformes, Corvidae. The transcript has 10 exons. The record is from RefSeq and is a predicted model, not a curated record.